AAUCGUGGACAGACGAUCGCGCCCGAACGGGUGAGGAAAGUCCGAGCACGACAGGACACGAUGGUGGGUAACGCCCACCGGCCCGGGGUGCGGGUCAGGGACAGUGCCACAGAAAAGAUACCGCCGUUGCCGGUUCGCCGGUGCGGUAAGGGUGAAAAGGUGCGGUAAGAGCGCACCGCCGGAUCGGUGACGAUCCGGGCAUGGCAAACCCCAUCGCGUGCAAGCGCAAGCAGUCCAGCUCUUCAUGGGCAUCCGCUGUCCGCGGGGCAAGGACGGGUCGCGUGCGAGGAAAUCGUCGGCAACGGCGAUUCAAGAGAAAUGGUCGUCACAUCCGGGGCUGGCCUCCGGAUGCACAGAACUCGGCUUACGUCCACGGCAACCA
Molecule: RNase P RNA, 382 nt
Filed under: Phycisphaerae bacterium
Lineage: Bacteria; Pseudomonadati; Planctomycetota; Phycisphaerae
Description: RNase P RNA component class A
Rfam family: Bacterial RNase P class A
About the family: Ribonuclease P (RNase P) is a ubiquitous endoribonuclease, found in archaea, bacteria and eukarya as well as chloroplasts and mitochondria. Its best characterised activity is the generation of mature 5'-ends of tRNAs by cleaving the 5'-leader elements of precursor-tRNAs.
Source: RNAcentral